GGCGGAGCCGCGGUCCCCACAGCCGCCCCACCCGCGCCGCUGCCUCGCUGGGGCCCGGGCCCCCUUCCCGGUCCUUACUCCCCUGCUGGUGCCUCCCUCCUUGGCGCGCUUCCCACCUGCGAUCGGCGCCCUCUUCGCAGUCACGAACUCGCCAGCAGCUAGCAGCACUGACUAGUAGGAGGGCCCGCCGGAGGAGAGCCGCGCGGCCCACAGAAGCGGAACGCGCGUCGAGAGCGCCCUGUCCGCUCGCCCCAGACAGAUGCCCGGUUAUUCAUUACCGCGAGGCCUAGAGGAAAGAGUGGCUGCCGUCUUCCUGCCCACAGCCCGCCGGACCCUCCGUCGCGGCUGCCCGGUCCCCGGAGCCGCAGCCGCCGAGCCCGGCUGUGCGUGUCGUGGCUGCUGGGGAGAAAGAGGCUUCCGGAAGCCCCAGAGAGAUUGGUGAGGGUGAUUUCCCAGGAAGACGCAGUGUGCUCUGACUUCUGUGACAGUGAGCAACGGGACCAGUGGAUGUCCAGAUGCUGGCAAUGAGACAUGCUCUGGAGUCAGAAGACAGCGAAAAGAGAAGCAGAAGCCCCGGUGGCAAGAGUCUGAAGCAGGAAGGAUGACUGUAGCCUGUGGAUUGUACUGCAGUAGGAAACUGUCCUAGCAAGGCUCCACUUUGCCCCAGCUUCAAGCUGGAAAGGAGGAGAACAUGAAACAUUGCUUGAAGACAAUGGCCGAGACAGCAGGUCCCACCCUGCACAGCCACCAGCAUCUCUCCCCUCAGCCCUGUCUCCUCUUCUGCAGUUGGGAUCUGCACAUUUAAGCCUGAAAUUGUCCUGUGAAGUGAAGUAUGAUCGGACAGCCUCUUUUCAGCUUUUAUGACAAUGGAGACAGAGGAAUUGUGGCUCUUGCCAAGGUCACAGGAUUGGAAUACAGAGCCAAGCCACCCCAGGACAUGCAAGAGCCUCAGAAGGGAAAAAAGCCCAGCAGGAAGGGAGAACAAGUAGCCUCUGUCCUGAAGUUGUAACAGCCAGGGGCCAGGAUGGAGGAGGAGGACCCCAUAAUCUGCCCAUCUGGGACUUGGCAGGGGACCUGGGAAAAUGUACCCCAACCCAUCCCUUAAGGGCCUUUGUCUUUGGCCCAUUGGCCUAGCAUCUACUUCUUCACCGUGUCUGUUCUUGUCACACCUAGUCAGGUCUGUUUGGGUCUGAGGUGCAUGGAACAUUCUGGGUAGGCCUCCAGCAAACGGAAGCUCUUCACCGUGUUUCCAGCCUGGGACCAAGGGCAGCAUACUGGCAAAGUUGCCAAAGCAAGGGACUCCAGCCUCUUAGGAGUUAAUGACUCCCUCUCCCCAGCUGUCCUCCCCUUGGUGCUCCUCUUCCUCCCUCCUCCUGCUCACAGCAGGCAGGGCCUAGACCCGGGAGCCAUGCUGCUGUGCUGUUGCCAGGGGAGCACGGAGGCAGAUCUGAGCUAUGCAGGGAAAAGGCCCAGCCUGUCAAAGUGUCUGAGAUGAACCGCCGCCGUCCCUGUGCAGCUGGGCUCAGACGUGUCUCAGCUCUUGUUCUGUGCCUGAGAAUGGCGAAACCCAGUGAGGUUCAAGGGCAAACUCGCUAUUCAUUAGUCAGGGGUUCUUGACGUCCCGUCUCUCCCAGGGAUGAGUUCCCCCCUCCUCUUUCUCCCCCUCCUAUGACACAUUCCUGGGUGCCUUUGGUGAGGACUGCACACCCUCCUCCUGCCUAGCCCCCUCUCCAAAGGCCCCUGAAUAAACUCCCCCCAAGGAGACCAGGCAGGGCAGAGACAAUGGCUGCAGGAAAUCAUUCAGGCGGGACAUGCUGGCCUGCCCUCCACCCAGUCCCCCUGUGGGCCCCACUCCCUUCUGAUUCAGGGCACCCUUGGGCCCCCAGCCUAUACAGGCCUGGACAGGAAGAAACCACUGGGAACCACCCUAAGGACAACAUGCUAGUCCAGUGCCAUUCUUCGCUGGCUCUGUGGGUGCCUUUGUGGCCUGUACCGACUGGCUGGCUAAUUUUGUGGUUUCUGUACCAUCACAUGCCUAUUUUAAGACACUCUCCAGCACUGUCGGUUAGGGAGUGUAAAUUUUGCAAUAUUUUCUGAAAUGUGGCAAUAUCAAAAUGUAAAAGGCACACAUACUUGGUCACAAACAAAUGGCACUAUUUACUCUGUGGGCAUAUUUGUAAAAGUUGCCAAAGAAUUAUAUACAAGGAUGUUCAUCAGAGCAUUUCUUUUGAAGAGUAAAGAAAUGGACAUGAACCUGUGGUCCGUUCAUACGGUGGAAUACCUAUGCAGCUGUAAAAAUCAGUGUGGUAGAUCUCCGUAUAUGAGUUGAUGUGGAAGGUUGGCCAGUUCACAUGAUAAGGUGAAUAGAAUAAGUUACAGAACAGGCUGUAGAGUAUGAUCUUAUUUGUAGAUGUUUAAAACUGAGUCAUAAGUAUGCUUAUAUACAGAUCGUUUCUGGAAGUAUGUACUGGAAGUCUACCUCUGGGGAGUGGGGAUGGGGGAGUGCACUCUUCUAUACUGUUAUAUUUUCUUUUCAUGCUCCUAAGGUACUUUUAUUGGAAGAUGUAAAGCGGUUCAAUGUAAUAGGCUUAACUUCUGUCAACUAAGUUGGCGUGGGUGCUUUAAGAGGGUGGUAGUGAUGUUGCUGGAGAAAGUAUCCCACAGUCACUGGUGGCUUCAGCCACGGGCCAUUUUGGGGCCUAAUAAUCACAUAUCAUCAUGGUUGCUAGUGUUAAUCGAAAACCUACUAAGUGCCAGGCUUACUGUCUCUGGGUCUUGCUUACGUGGAUGUCAUUUUUCCAGUUGCACCAAAUCGAAAGAGGUUAAUUGGUUUGUUGGAGUUCCUUUGUAGGUGAAGGGCAGAGCCAGGAGCUUGGCUAGGGACAGGGGAGGUGAGUGGGGGAUGGUGGAUAGGUCUUGGCUCCCAGUUUCCUUCUGGGCAGACAUUGCCCCUCUGCCCUGAGGACCUGCUUGUUUGGGGGAAGAGGCCUUUAGAGGCACCAGGGUCAUGCCAGGUGUUGGACAUGGUGAACUGGGAAGUGCUCCCAUCUGGCCACAGCGCAGAAGUAUCACCGUGCUGGGGGAUGGGGAACAGGGCUGUGAAUGGGCCUAUUUGCAUAAGCAGCAUGUGUCUGGAGAGAAAGACAUCACAGAGCAGAAGAGUGCGGGUGCCCAGGAGUGCACUUGCCACCCCUACUUCAUCCCUGAAAGAGUAAAUGGCCUGGAAGGUGUCUCUGAGAGGUAAUGCCGCACACCACCCUCCCUGGGGGCAGGGUCAGGCUACACCUGCCUUAGGUCGGGGGCUGCAGCAGCCUGAGAGCUCUCAGUAGGGCCUCAGUAGCCUGGGAGGGAGCAGGGGCAGGGGGCAGGGAAAGAGGCGUAAUGGGGCUGUCCAGAGGGGCCUGGGAAACCUGGUCCCUGAGGCCUGGGCACAGCUACAAUCACUUCAAAUUGGCUGUGGGGCCAGUGGACUGGGAAGGAAAAAAGCAAUAAGAGUGACCAAGUGCAGAAGGCUGUCAGGUCCCAGGUCACAUGCCUUAGUGCAGUGACUCCUCAUCAUUUUAUGGGGUGUGGGUGUCGUUGGUACACCCAUUUUACAGAUGAGGACACCGAGGCCCAGAAAAGUUAAGUUACAUGUCCUAAGUCACACAGCUUGUAAGUGCCAGAACUGAGAUCAAAACCAAGUCUCUUUGACUUUAAAGUCUGUACUCUGACCCCAAAGAGAUCCUGUUUGGCCACUUAUAGGAGGUCCCUAAAGCUGCAGACUCCCCUUGCCGGCACCCACAUAUAGAGACAUUAACCCUUCCCCUGCAGGGUCACCUCAAAUAGUCUUUUAGCUGGGCUUCUCCUGCAAUUCCACCUAAUGCCAUCCCCUGGGUUUUGCCCAAACCUGAACUGGGCAGUGGGGUGAGAGGAGGGGUUUACAGGGUUACAGAGCCUCAUACAGAUAGGAGCCCAUGGCUGCUGGUCAUCUGCAUUCCUGCAGGAUUGGCUGUUCCUUGGGGUCCUUGGCAGGAAAAUGAGGAUUGCUCCGAGGCCUGCUCCAGUACUUCCCAGAGGCUGGCCUGGUGUGGGGCUCUGGGAAGGCUGAGGCUGGAGAAGCGUAAGUAGGAGGGCAGAGAUGGCACUCAGGUAGCUUGAAUCACCAGGACCCUUCCAAGCCCCACAGGUUCUGAGGGAGUACUAGGGCCAGCUCUGGGAGAGGUCUCUUCCUAUGCUGUGAACCCCCUGCCUUUCUUGCAGCCUACAACGAAUAAAUUUUCUUUGCAA
RNAcentral lists this long non-coding RNA (4269 nucleotides) under Homo sapiens (human). RNAcentral's name for it is "MIR9-3 host gene". Lineage: Eukaryota; Metazoa; Chordata; Mammalia; Primates; Hominidae. The record is from RNAcentral.